UACGGAGGGAGCUAGCGUUGUUCGGAAUUACUGGGCGUAAAGGGUGCGCAGGCGGUCCUGCAAGUCAGGCGUGAAAUCCCCGGGCUUAACCUGGGAAUGGCACUUGAAACUACGGGACUGGAGUAUGGCAGAGGGAGGUGGAAUUCCACGUGUAGCGGUGAAAUGCGUAGAGAUGUGGAGGAACACCGAUGGCGAAGGCAGCCUCCUGGGCCAAUACUGACGCUCAUGCACGAAAGCGUGGGGAGCAAACAGG
Molecule: ribosomal RNA, 253 nt
Filed under: uncultured bacterium
Lineage: Bacteria
Description: partial 16S ribosomal RNA
Rfam family: Bacterial small subunit ribosomal RNA
Source: RNAcentral